Molecule: non-coding RNA, 74 nt
Organism: Trichonephila clavipes
Lineage: Eukaryota; Metazoa; Arthropoda; Arachnida; Araneae; Nephilidae
Source: the annotation of a GenBank genome assembly
UGUGGGUAUAGCUCAGAUGGUAGAGCGCUCGCUCUGCAUGCGAGAAGUACGGGGAUCUAUGCCCCGUAACUCAA